This 403-nucleotide ribosomal RNA is filed under the name uncultured bacterium. Its description in RNAcentral is "bacterial SSU rRNA". It matches the Rfam family "Bacterial small subunit ribosomal RNA", at positions 356 to 774 of the family's 1533-position model. The record is from RNAcentral.
AGGGAAUAUUGCAAAAUGGGCGAAAGCCCGAUGCAGCAACGCCGCGUGGGCGAUGAAGGCCUUCGGGUCGUAAAGCCCUUUUUGAGGGGGAUGAGGAAGGACAGUACCCUCAGAAUAAGCCUCGGCUAACUACGUGCCAGCAGCCGCGGUAAAACGUAGGAGGCGAGCGUUAUCCGGAUUUACUGGGCGUAAAGCGCGUGCAGGCGGAUUGGAGAGUUGGAUGUGAAAGCUCCCGGCUUAACUGGGAGAGGUCGUUCAAUACUUCCAGUCUUGAGUGCAGUAGAGGGAAGUGGAAUUCCGGGUGUAGUGGUGAAAUGCGUAGAUAUCCGGAGGAACACCAGUGGCGAAAGCGGCUUCCUGGACUGUAACUGACGCUCAGACGCGAAAGCUAGGGUAGCAAACG